CAUCAAAUAGAAUAGACACAAACUGUCAAGCCCUUUCCCUGUAAAUGGAGUUAUCAUCGCUGUGUGUUUGUCUAUGGAGAGAGCCCCAGCUAGCACCUUGGUGAGGGGUGCAACCUUGGGGAAAGCCUUCCCCACCGAGCAUCAGUUUCCCUGCCUGCACAGAUGCUCUCUAAGGCUCAUCCAGGCCUAACAUGCCAGGCAGCGGGCUCUUCCAUGGGAAAAUGGACGCUCUGACAGGCCCCCUGUGUCUGCAACACGAUCUCCUCUCUCGGGGGACACAGGCUCCCUGCCGGCGCGGCUGGUGAUUAAUAUGCCCUGAGUGGGGUUCCUGACCCGCUGUCAGGGACAUCAAGCUUUUCAGCCCCCCAAGGUGGCAGUUGGCUUUCUGGCUAUGGCAGGUGGGGAGGAGGAGCGGUCAGAAGUGCCCGCGGGUGGGCCAUGGACUUGCAGGCCGCAGCCAUCGAGCCCCAGCCCUGACUCUGCCUCCGGCCGGGCUGCCCUGGUCCCCACUGAGCAGCCGGCGUGCUCACUGGGAAGAGCAGAAACAACUGCACGAUGGCACUGGUGGCAGUGAGGCGAAGACAGAUGAGAGCAGGAGAGCGAUGAGCUCAUUAGGGAAGCAGGGACCUGGAGGAGAGAAGACACAGCCUGAUGCUGGGGACAACCUCAGGCUUUGGAGCCAGCCGGGCUCGGGGAAAAUCCCAGCUCCUGCUUUUCCAUCGGGAGGAUGCAGCCUGAGCUUGUUGAAGGGCGCUGCUGGAAAGCGGUCCUGCUCCCCCGAGCCAUCAGGAAAGUGCUGGAGAUGACCGGUACCAGUUAAAGCGGUUCGGCCCUGGGGAAAGUCUUCAGAAGAAUCAGGCAGGAGGAGAAUCCAGAGAGAGAGAACUGUGAGGAUAACAGGAGGCGCUGCUCACACCUGGAGAAACCACUCCAUGCGGAAACUGCUUAUGGGCAACUCAGGGCCCCUCGAGGUCCCACUUCCUGGGAGUAUGCUGCAUUACCCUUAGCUUUCUGUCACCCAGUCUCUGUUUCCAGGACCUUUG
This 1043-nucleotide long non-coding RNA is filed under the name Equus asinus (donkey). RNAcentral describes it as "lncRNA (ENSEASG00005038783.1)". The record is from RNAcentral. Lineage: Eukaryota; Metazoa; Chordata; Mammalia; Perissodactyla; Equidae.